Molecule: transfer RNA, 74 nt
Filed under: Flavobacterium profundi
Lineage: Bacteria; Pseudomonadati; Bacteroidota; Flavobacteriia; Flavobacteriales; Flavobacteriaceae
Description: Flavobacterium sp. TP390 tRNA-Arg
Rfam family: tRNA
About the family: Transfer RNA (tRNA) molecules are approximately 80 nucleotides in length. Their secondary structure includes four short double-helical elements and three loops (D, anti-codon, and T loops).
Source: RNAcentral
AAUGUCAUAGCUCAACUGGAAAGAGCAUUCGCCUACGAAGCGAAAGGUUGAAGGUUCGAAUCCUUCUGGCAUUA